GAUGAACGCUAGCUACAGGCUUAACACAUGCAAGUCGAGGGACCGGCGCACGGGUGAGUAACACGUAUCCAACCUGCCCUUUACUCGGGGAUAGCCUUUCGAAAGAAAGAUUAAUACCCGAUAUAAAGGAUGGGGAUGCGUUCCAUUAGGUUGUUGGUGAGGUAACGGCUCACCAAGCCUUCGAUGGAUAGGGGUUCUGAGAGGAAGGUACACCGCAUUGGAACUGAGGCCCGGACCACACUCCUACGGGGUGCAGCAGUGUGGUAUACUGGUCGAUGAGGGCUGGCCUAGACAAGCCAAGUAGCGUGAAGGGUGAAGCGUUAUGGAUCGUAUUCUUCUUUUAUAUAAGAAUCUGUAUUAGAAGAAUAAGGAUCGGCUAACUCCGUGCCAGCAGCCGCGGUAAUUC
RNAcentral lists this ribosomal RNA (406 nucleotides) under uncultured bacterium. RNAcentral describes it as "partial 16S ribosomal RNA". It matches the Rfam family "Bacterial small subunit ribosomal RNA", at positions 28 to 526 of the family's 1533-position model. The record is from RNAcentral.